Molecule: ribosomal RNA, 468 nt
Filed under: uncultured bacterium
Lineage: Bacteria
Description: partial 16S ribosomal RNA
Rfam family: Bacterial small subunit ribosomal RNA
Source: RNAcentral
GACGAACGCUGGCGGCGUGCUUAACACAUGCAAGUCGAACGGAAAGGCCCUGCUUUUGUGGGGUGCUCGAGUGGCGAACGGGUGAGUAACACGUGUGUAACCUGCCCUUGACUUUGGGAUAACUUCAGGAAACUGGGGCUAAUACCGGAUAGGAGCUCCUGCUGCAUGGUGGGGGUUGGAAAGUUUCGGCGGUGGGGGAUGGACUCGCGGCUUAUCAGCUUGUUGGUGGGGUAGUGGCUUACAAAGGCUUUGACGGGUAGCCGGCCUGAGAGGGUGACCGGCGACAUGGGGACUGAGAUACGGCGCAGACUCCUACGGGAGGCAGCAGUGGGGAAUAUGGCACAAUGGGCGGAAGCCUGAUGCAGCAACGCCGCGUGCGGGAUGACGGCCUUCGAGUUGUAAACCGCUUUCGCAUGUGACGAAGCGGGAGUGACGGUAAUGGGUAAAGAAGCACCGGCUAACUACGUG